Molecule: ribosomal RNA, 490 nt
Filed under: uncultured bacterium
Lineage: Bacteria
Description: partial 16S ribosomal RNA
Rfam family: Bacterial small subunit ribosomal RNA
Source: RNAcentral
AUUGAACGCUGGCGGCAGGCUUAACACAUGCAAGUCGAACGGUAGCAGGAGAAAGCUUGCUUUCUUGCUGACGAGUGGCGGACGGGUGAGUAAUGCUUUGGAAUCUUGCUUAUGGAGGGGGAUAACUACGGGAAACUGUAGCUAAUACCGCGUAAUAUCUUCGGAUUAAAGAAUGGGACUUUUAGCCAUUCGCCAUAAGAUGAGCCCAAGUGGGAUUAGGUAGUUGGUGGGGUAAAGGCCUACCAAGCCGACGAUCUCUAGCUGGUCUGAGAGGAUGACCAGCCACACUGGAACUGAGACACGGUCCAGACGCCUACGGGAGGCAGCAGUGGGGAAUAUUGCGCAAGAGGGGCAACCCUGACGCAGCCAUGCCGCGUGAAUGAAGAAGGCCUUCGGGUUGUAAAGUUCUUUCGGUGGUGAGGAAGGCUAAUAUGUUAAUAGCAUAUUAGAUUGACGUUAGCCACAGAAGAAGCACCGGCUAACUCCGUGC